RNAcentral lists this ribosomal RNA (255 nucleotides) under Klebsiella pneumoniae. RNAcentral's name for it is "partial 23S ribosomal RNA". It matches the Rfam family "Bacterial large subunit ribosomal RNA", at positions 363 to 621 of the family's 2925-position model. Lineage: Bacteria; Pseudomonadati; Pseudomonadota; Gammaproteobacteria; Enterobacterales; Enterobacteriaceae. The record is from RNAcentral.
GGUGAUAGUCCCGUACACCAAAAUGCACAGGCUGUGAACUCGAAGAGUAGGGCGGGACACGUGGUAUCCUGUCUGAAUAUGGGGGGGACCAUCCUCCAAGGCUAAAUACUCCUGACUGACCGAUAGUGAACCAGUACCGUGAGGGAAAGGCGAAAAGAACCCCGGCGAGGGGAGUGAAAAAGAACCUGAAACCGUGUACGUACAAGCAGUGGGAGCACCUUCGGGUGUGACUGCGUACCUUUUGUAUAAUGGGUC